RNAcentral lists this long non-coding RNA (1071 nucleotides) under Gadus morhua (Atlantic cod). RNAcentral's name for it is "lncRNA (ENSGMOG00000036056.1)". Lineage: Eukaryota; Metazoa; Chordata; Actinopteri; Gadiformes; Gadidae. The record is from RNAcentral.
AUUUUUGGUAUCAUCAAGGCUUAAGAUACAAUGUAAGAUGUCUAACCCUAAAACUGUCUCUUUACCAGUGUCCCGUCCUGGUUCUGAAUGAAACAAGCAUUUGUGCGGAAGUUAACAGCACUUUGCUGCAGCAGUACCUGGACCGGGGCAAGAUAAACCAAAGUGUUUGUGACUUCAGCGUCGAGGAAUACGCCUGCGCAUCGGUAAACUUUCUCCAUACACAAACCUUCAAACGAUCCUACACUCCUUGUGCUCUGAUGUCUAACCGCUACGGUUCUUGUAGCUGCCGGACCUGGCUGCGGAGGACCUGGCAGCCGUGUUGACGUGCAAUAACUCCCGUGCGUCGCGGGCCCCCCUGGCCGUCUGGGAGCUCCUCUUCUCCGAGACCACCAAGGUUCUGGGGCCUGCUCUGGAUCUCCUGGCCCACAUGACCUUCCACCCCAGCUAUCCCGCCGCCUCCCUGAUCCUGGAGGCCAUCAACAACGUCCGGCUGCAAAUGCUCCCCCCGGAAAUCUAUGAGAGCGAGGCCUUCAUCCGCCUGUGGUUUGGCCAGAGACUCCGCCCCUUCCUGUCGGCCAUCUCCCCCGACACGUUGUCCUGUCUCAGCACCAAGAACCUCAGCUGCAGCACCUACCAGGCCCUUGUUCAGAUCUUCAGCCAACACCAGCCGUCCAUGGAGCUCGAGACCCAGGUCAAUGUCAACGUCUUUUUCAUCAGGCCCUUCCUCACCCGGAACCACACUGAAGAUCCAAACUGUUCAGAUAACACAACCAGUGGACAAUGGCUGCAGAACAACUUUGGGGGAUUCUCUGCGCUGAUCUCUGUCAGCGGCCUGCAGAUGCUGAAUGCAGACUUCGCCCCGCUGGAAGCCCUACCCUAUCUGACAGUGAGACAGCUCUCAGAGGUGUCCUCCACCCCAGGACUGCUAACCACGCCCGACCAGGUUAACAUGGUGUUGGGCAAUGUCCCCAGCUCUCAGCUGGACGCCUUCUUUGACUACGUCUCACCUGCAAUAAUGGCAAGUUAGCAUCAUAAACCAUGCACAAGUUAGAACUAAACCAUUGUACUGUA